CAGGGUGUGACCGCUGGGUCUGGACUUUGGAUACCCGGAAUUGGCAACCAGAGGCGCCAGGUCGUAGGCCUGGGGAAGCGAGAUUCUCCCAGGGAUUUCUCUGAGCUGGAGGGAAGCCAGAACACUAGUAGUCUCCAUAAUGUCCUUUAGUUCUCUGAGCAACUCUGGUCGAUAGCUUUGGUCACCAGCCUGUGUCUGGCUCCAAGGGACUCCAUAUUGUCUACAGUGGUACCUCUCAUACCAUGCCUUUUCCUGAGAACAGCAAUUUGCUCCAUUUUGAUCUGGCUUUGAACCAUGGUCCUCGUGGCCCAGGCCCAUACCGACCAGGCAAAUCCCAGCCACCUGUAUCCAAAAAGGACCGAACCAAUAAUACCUUUACAUGAAGGGAUGGAGAAAAUUGCCCCUAAGGAAAGGAGCAGGACACUCUCCACAGGACAGGACUCUGUCCAGGCAACAAUGAUUUGACCUGACUUCUCAAGUAAUGUCAAUGACAACAACUCCUGAACCUAUGCCAGAGCAAGGACGGAGAUAAUGACCAACCAGACCACAAUGUAACUGGGGCUGUUGAAUGCAUACCUGUCACUUCCUGCCCUAAUUACUUUUCUAUGUAAACCCAAGGCUUAUGCCUCAUCUCUAGCAGAAAAAGAUGAUGGGUAAAAGCAGAUGGCAGAAGGGUGAGUGGGCUGAAGUCAUUACUUUGUUUCUUCCUAUAGUAGCUUGGGCUUUGUAAUACCUGCCUUUGUAAUAUCUGCCUUUUACUACUACUCAUCUCUUUAGUUGUGGUGCUGGAGUCAGUGGCCAGUCCUGACUUAAGGAAACCCAGCAUUUGGGGCCUGAGGCCUAAAACUAUGGUUUCAAGCUAGCUUUGUUCCCACCUGCCCCACAGAACAGGCACCAAAGGGAGAUGCUGUUUCUCCAAAAUAAUAUCCCAAGUGAUAUGGUGGAGGAAGUAAGGAUAGAAUAUAAUAUUUGACUUGGAUCGUAUAAAAUGGAUAAUGAA
Long non-coding RNA from Dipodomys ordii (Ord's kangaroo rat), 1000 nucleotides. RefSeq lists it as uncharacterized. The transcript is spliced from 4 exons. NCBI's taxonomy places the organism in Eukaryota, Metazoa, Chordata, Mammalia, Rodentia, Heteromyidae. The record is from RefSeq and is a predicted model, not a curated record.